GAGCUUGGACUUGAACUUGAUUUGGAUUCAAGGGCUUGAGUAGCUUGAUCUUGAAUCUUCGUCUUCGGACUUGAAUUUGGAUAUCAGUUAGUCACAAACACUUGGAUAGUUGCCACGAACAAUGAAUAAGUAACUUGAUCUUGAACAAAAUUUUCUUCGUUCUUGAUCUUGAACUUGAUCUUGAGCUUGAUUGCUUGAAACUUAUAACUUGCGGAGAAAUUAUGGUUUUUGAUCCACGAGCUUUGUUCUUGCUUCUUGUUUCUCC
Molecule: long non-coding RNA, 265 nt
Filed under: Capsicum annuum
Lineage: Eukaryota; Viridiplantae; Streptophyta; Magnoliopsida; Solanales; Solanaceae
Description: long non-coding RNA (CANN_LNC001399)
Source: RNAcentral